GUUCUGUGUUGGUUAGAUAAAUCCAUUUAACCUUUUCCCUCUGCUUCUUCUGCUUUCUUUUCUUCUAUGCUAAGCUUUCAUGUUGGAACUUAGCAGUUGUUUGAUUGCUCCAUCUUGGUGAGAUCAUUGAUCCCGAGUAUGGGCUUGAGCACUACUUAUGGAUACUGUAGUUCUCUUUCCUGAACAAAACAAGAGAGAAACUGUCAGUGUUCAGCAUAUCCUUGCAUCUAUAUCAAUUUUUAUUGGGAUCUAUAUACAUGUUCAGUGAUGGUUUAUCUUCCUGUGCACUAUAGAAGGGCAUAAAAAUGCUAGUGUAACAAUAGCUUUCACAAGAAGAUAGCAUAUUCAAAAUUUUACAGAGCUACACAAAAAAAUUGAUGCUUUCUCAAGGUAUUGCAAUAGUUAUUUACCUAUACAAUUACUGCUGGUCUAUUUAUAACCAGAUCAAGAGCUCCUUCAGAUGGUCCCAACCCACAUUAAGUGCCCUUACCAGACAUCAAGGUUAAGUCUUGCAGCAUCCUAUUACAUAAUAGUAGAUGACUAAAGCAAAGGAUACCUUAUACUAGAACAGCUAAAGUAACAUAUCCCAUGGGUAACUAAUAUCAUUGUUUUUGGGUCAUCUACCAGUAUUAUUUCUUUGCUGCAGCACCUAACUUAGAAAUCAUAGGUCAUAUAUUCCAAGGCACAUCACACUAUAUACCACAUCAUCAUAAGGAACAACAUUAGUGCACACCAUAUUAGACAGCCCUAAAAAUGAAUUGGUGAAAAUAUCUGAAACAAAUGUUUAAGAUAAAGAAAACCAAUGAGGGCCUUCAUACUACAAAGCUGGAUGUGACAAUGGAAGCUAUUCUUGCCAACAAAAUUGUGCUAUGUGAGAACCUAAGCAUUUAGGUAGGCCCAAACCUCAUCAAUUCGAUGAGAAGGUUAAAAAAGAUGACCCAACUUUUACGCAUUCCCAGAGGUCAAUACUAGAAGAACUCCUGACCCACUGAAGGGUCAUCGGGAAUCAGAUGUAUGAAUUGGACACCGGUGGAGAUGUGGUCAAUGCAACCGGAAAGUUCAAAGUAAAGUUGCAGCUACCUUGCUUUCUGAGAUGUACAUAGGAUAAUUCUCCCAAAAUUCCCUGCAACAGAUGUAGAUAACCAAGCCGUCAAGAUUUAGAGCAACCAUCUCAUUAUGAUCUCAUUGAUAGAAGCAGAUGUUUGACCAAACAUCUAAAUUUGACCUUCUCAUUGAUCCAAAUAGAUGUGUAGCAAAAACACUACAUUUUGACCAGUUCAUUGGUCAAAAGGAUUCCUCUCUGGAGGGCAUUACAUGCAAAAAUUUAUCCUACCAGAUUAGGCUAAUCAUAAGUUCACAAUCAUGUGUGUCAGCAUCCUGAGAAUAAUGCAGUACACAUACUUUACAGCAAGAGUUAAAACCAUAUUGAUAAAAGAAAGAUUUACCAGGAUAAAACUGAUCUGGCAGUGCAACUACUUGUUGGGAAAAAUGCAUAAUGCUAUCUGAACCUGAACCAGCAAAAUCUGACGAGCAGCUCCAUGGUGCCUCUUUUUCCUUGUAUCGACAUUGAUCUGGAUCAAAUUCUCUGCACCAUAUAUACCCCAGGAUCAUAUAGUCUUCCGUCUUAGAUGACUUUCUUGAAGACACCUGUUGCCAGUUAUGGUAAAUUGAAAUCAGUUGCCAUGGAACACCACCAAGAAAAAUGCAGGGCAUUUUACAAAUAUCUGCUUUCUCUGUUCUUUCCCAUGAUGAGCUUUGAUCCCUAGUCAGUCAAAUCAGUUCAUUACUAAUGAUAUCAGAAUUUCAAUCUUUUAUGCAUGUUUAAUGAAUCUGACAAUGAAACAAGCCAAGCAUUAGUAGUAAGUAGUAACACACCCGUAUUACACUACUCAUGAAAGCUAGUUCUGGACAAAUCUUUGGCAACAUUCACAUAGCAAAAUUUGACAACUCUCUCCCAAGGUUAUCAUAAGAGUGGAGCGUAAGCCCAACAUUUGACAGCAAUAUCUUACUUAUCCUUUGCAUAUAAGUCAUAAAAAAUAUAAGCAAAAUUCAGUUGCCCCUUAAACAAGCCACAAGAAACACAACAUCUCUUUGGUGUGAUAUGCUUUCAAUCAGAGGCAACAAGGACAUGCAAUUCUAAACUUCCCUACUGCCAUUUGUCCCUGAGAUAUUGUCUUACUAUCACCGACUAUGUAUUAUUCGCUGGCUUGUGCAUUUUUAUAAGCAUGAUUGCAUGUGGAAGAAGCAGCACAAUAGCUACAUUUUUCGAAAUCCUAGCACCAAAUGUUUCACUGGUAGGAAUCUUGAAUCUACCCAACUUUUCUCCAGCAUAAAUAAUCAUGUAAACACAAUUGACAUCCACACUGGGUAUUCCACUAAUGGAACAAUUCCUUGUAACCCUACUUGACAAAAUUCUACUUUGAACUUCAAUUUUGUGCUAUUUAUGUACAUUAUAAUCUCCAUUUUUAUUAUAGAGGCAGGGCAAGAUGUUAUAGACAUACGGCCUAACAGAAGAUUGCCUUGAACCACAAUCGGGCAAUUCAUCCAUCCAUGCGCUCGAAGACCAGGCAGCC
Molecule: long non-coding RNA, 2573 nt
Filed under: Musa acuminata (dwarf banana)
Lineage: Eukaryota; Viridiplantae; Streptophyta; Magnoliopsida; Zingiberales; Musaceae
Description: long non-coding RNA (MACU_LNC000846)
Source: RNAcentral